This is a non-coding RNA of Pelobates cultripes (western spadefoot toad), 157 nucleotides long. NCBI's taxonomy places the organism in Eukaryota, Metazoa, Chordata, Amphibia, Anura, Pelobatidae. The record is from the annotation of a GenBank genome assembly.
GCUGACUCAUUCCAGCCAAUCAGCAGCAGACCCUCCCUCCCAGACCCUCCCACCUCCUGGACAGCAUCCAUUUUGAAGCUGCAUUCUUAGUGAGCUGUCCAGGAGGUGGGAGGGUCUGGGAGGGAGGGUCUGCUGCUGAUUGGCUGGAAUGUGUCAG